CCCUUAGAUGUUCUGGGCCGCACGCGCGCUACACUGACGAAGUCAGCGAGCAUGUCCUACGCCGACAGGUGCGGGGAAUCUUGUCAAACUUCGUCGUGAUGGGGAUUGAUUAUUGAAAUUCUUGAUCAUCAACGAGGAAUUCCUAGUAAGCGCAAGUCAGCAGCUUGCGUUGAUUACGUCCCUGCCCUUUGUACACACCGCCCGUCGCUACUACCGAUUGAAUGAUUUAGUGAGUACCAGGGACCGAGCGCUUUGGUUGGGUUUCCUUCCCUAGCGCUUGGGAACUGUCGCAAACUUGACCAUUUAGAGGAAGUAAAAGUCGUAACA
This 327-nucleotide ribosomal RNA is filed under the name uncultured eukaryote. RNAcentral describes it as "partial 18S ribosomal RNA". It matches the Rfam family "Eukaryotic small subunit ribosomal RNA", at positions 1470 to 1796 of the family's 1831-position model. The record is from RNAcentral.